This 1361-nucleotide ribosomal RNA is filed under the name uncultured bacterium. RNAcentral's name for it is "bacterial SSU rRNA". It matches the Rfam family "Bacterial small subunit ribosomal RNA", at positions 28 to 1381 of the family's 1533-position model. The record is from RNAcentral.
AUUGAACGCUGGCGGCAGGCCUAACACAUGCAAGUCGAACGGUAGCACAGAGAGCUUGCUCUCGGGUGACGAGUGGCGGACGGGUGAGUAAUGUCUGGGAAACUGCCCGAUGGAGGGGGAUAACUACUGGAAACGGUAGCUAAUACCGCAUAAUGUCGCAAGACCAAAGAGGGGGACCUUCGGGCCUCUUGCCAUCGGAUGUACCCAGAUGGGAUUAGCUUGUAGGUGAGGUAACGGCUCACCUAGGCGACGAUCCCUAGCUGGUCUGAGAGGAUGACCAGCCACACUGGAACUGAGACACGGUCCAGACUCCUACGGGAGGCAGCAGUGGGGAAUAUUGCACAAUGGGCGCAAGCCUGAUGCAGCCAUGCCGCGUGUAUGAAGAAGGCCUUCGGGUUGUAAAGUACUUUCAGCGGGGAGGAAGGGAGUGAGGUUAAUAACCUUAUUCAUUGACGUUACCCGCAGAAGAAGCACCGGCUAACUCCGUGCCAGCAGCCGCGGUAAUACGGAGGGUGCAAGCGUUAAUCGGAAUUACUGGGCGUAAAGCGCACGCAGGCGGUCUGUCAAGUCGGAUGUGAAAUCCCCGGGCUCAACCUGGGAACUGCAUUCGAAACUGGCAGGCUGGAGUCUUGUAGAGGGGGGUAGAAUUCCAGGUGUAGCGGUGAAAUGCGUAGAGAUCUGGAGGAAUACCGGUGGCGAAGGCGGCCCCCUGGACAAAGACUGACGCUCAGGUGCGAAAGCGUGGGGAGCAAACAGGAUUAGAUACCCUGGUAGUCCACGCUGUAAACGAUGUCGACUUGGAGGUUGUUCCCUUGAGGAGUGGCUUCCGGAGCUAACGCGUUAAGUCGACCGCCUGGGGAGUACGGCCGCAAGGUUAAAACUCAAAUGAAUUGACGGGGGCCCGCACAAGCGGUGGAGCAUGUGGUUUAAUUCGAUGCAACGCGAAGAACCUUACCUACUCUUGACAUCCAGAGAACUUAGCAGAGAUGCUUUGGUGCCUUCGGGAACUCUGAGACAGGUGCUGCAUGGCUGUCGUCAGCUCGUGUUGUGAAAUGUUGGGUUAAGUCCCGCAACGAGCGCAACCCUUAUCCUUUGUUGCCAGCGGUCCGGCCGGGAACUCAAAGGAGACUGCCAGUGAUAAACUGGAGGAAGGUGGGGAUGGCGUCAAGUCAUCAUGGCCCUUACGAGUAGGGCUACACACGUGCUACAAUGGCAUAUACAAAGAGAAGCGACCUCGCGAGAGCAAGCGGACCUCAUAAAGUAUGUCGUAGUCCGGAUUGGAGUCUGCAACUCGACUCCAUGAAGUCGGAAUCGCUAGUAAUCGUGGAUCAGAAUGCCACGGUGAAUACGUUCCCGGGCCU